This 386-nucleotide unclassified non-coding RNA is filed under the name uncultured Micrococcales bacterium. RNAcentral's name for it is "contains 16S-23S intergenic spacer region". Lineage: Bacteria; Bacillati; Actinomycetota; Actinomycetes; Micrococcales. The record is from RNAcentral.
UCCGAGUUGACCCCGGCAGUCUCCCAUGAGUCCCCACCACACCGAAGUGCCGUGCUGGCAACAUGGAACGAGGGUUGCGCUCGUUGCGGGACUUAACCCAACAUCUCACGACACGAGCUGACGACAACCAUGCACCACCUGUGAACCGGCCCCAAAGGGGAAACCACAUUUCUGCGGCGAUCCGGCCCAUGUCAAGCCUUGGUAAGGUUCUUCGCGUUGCAUCGAAUUAAUCCGCAUGCUCCGCCGCUUGUGCGGGCCCCCGUCAAUUCAUUUGAGUUUUAACCUUGCGGCCGUACUCCCCAGGCGGUCGACUUAUCGCGUUAACUGCGCCACGAAGUCCGCGAGGGACCCAACGGCUAGUCGACAUCGUUUACGGCGUGGACUAC